This 221-nucleotide long non-coding RNA is filed under the name Physcomitrium patens. RNAcentral describes it as "long non-coding RNA (PPAT_LNC009828)". The record is from RNAcentral. Lineage: Eukaryota; Viridiplantae; Streptophyta; Bryopsida; Funariales; Funariaceae.
GAUAGUAUAUAUAGAGGCAAGAUUAAAACCUUCUUCUCUCUUGGCAAUGCCUUUCCAAUUCAUAAUCUUAUUUCAAGACUUUUUAAUCUUCUUGUCUUUGAUUAUAGCCAUUCUAGUUUAAUAUUAUACCAUCUUUGAGUGAUUUUUUAGUUUUUAUGAGUGACACAAGAAUAUGUUGAACUUUUAGUUCUUUGAUAUUCAUGUCCUUGAUAAUUUGACAU